RNAcentral lists this ribosomal RNA (496 nucleotides) under uncultured bacterium. RNAcentral describes it as "partial 16S ribosomal RNA". It matches the Rfam family "Bacterial small subunit ribosomal RNA", at positions 28 to 506 of the family's 1533-position model. The record is from RNAcentral.
GAUGAACGCUGGCGGCGUGCCUAAUACAUGCAAGUCGAGCGAACAGAUGAGGAGCUUGCUCCUCUGACGUUAGCGGCGGACGGGUGAGUAACACGUGGAUAACCUACCUAUAAGACUGGGAUAACUUCGGGAAACCGGAGCUAAUACCGGAUAAUAUAUUGAACCGCAUGGUUCAAUAGUGAAAGACGGUUUUGCUGUCACUUAUAGAUGGAUCCGCGCCGCAUUAGCUAGUUGGUAAGGUAACGGCUUACCAAGGCAACGAUGCGUAGCCGACCUGAGAGGGUGAUCGGCCACACUGGAACUGAGACACGGUCCAGACUCCUACGGGAGGCAGCAGUAGGGAAUCUUCCGCAAUGGGCGAAAGCCUGACGGAGCAACGCCGCGUGAGUGAUGAAGGUCUUCGGAUCGUAAAACUCUGUUAUUAGGGAAGAACAAAUGUGUAAGUAACUAUGCACGACUUGACGGUACCUAAUCAGAAAGCCACGGCUAACUACGU